GGUUAAGUGACUAAGCGUACACGGUGGAUGCCUUGGCAGUCAGAGGCGAUGAAGGACGUAGUAACUUGCGAUAAGCUCAGAUUAGGCAGUAACAGCCACUUGAGUCUGAGAUUUCCGAAUGGGGAAACCCAACUGCAUAAGCAGUUACUGUUAACUGAAUACAUAGGUUAACAGGGCGAACCGGGGGAACUGAAACAUCUAAGUACCCCGAGGAGAAGAAAUCAACCGAGAUUCCGAUAGUAGCGGCGAGCGAAAUUGGAUUAGCCCUUAAGCUUUACAUGCGUCAGGUGAAGGUUCUGGAAAGGACCGCGAAACAGGGUGAUAGCCCCGUAGCCGACAGCGCAUGUUCAGUGAAAUCGAGUAGGGCGGGACACGUGUUAUCCUGUCUGAAUAUGGGGGGACCAUCCUCCAAGGCUAAAUACUCCUGACUGACCGAUAGUGAACCAGUACCGUGAGGGAAAGGCGAAAAGAACCCCUGUGAGGGGAGUGAAAUAGAACCUGAAACCGUGUACGUACAAGCAGUAGGAGCCUCUUCGUGGGGUGACUGCGUACCUUUUGUAUAAUGGGUCAGCGACUUAUAUUCAGUGGCAAGGUUAACCAUUUAGGGGAGCCGUAGGGAAACCGAGUCUUAACUGGGCGUUCAGUCUCUGGAUAUAGACCCGAAACCGGGUGAUCUAGCCAUGGGCAGGUUGAAGGUUGAGUAACAUCAACUGGAGGACCGAACCGACUAAUGUUGAAAAAUUAGCGGAUGACUUGUGGCUAGGGGUGAAAGGCCAAUCAAACUCGGAGAUAGCUGGUUCUCCCCGAAAGCUAUUUAGGUAGCGCCUCGGACGAAUACUACUGGGGGUAGAGCACUGUUAAGGCUAGGGGGUCAUCCCGACUUACCAACCCUUUGCAAACUCCGAAUACCAGUAAGUACUAUCCGGGAGACACACGGCGGGUGCUAACGUCCGUCGUGGAGAGGGAAACAACCCAGACCGCCAGCUAAGGUCCCAAAUUACAGCUAAGUGGGAAACGAUGUGGGAAGGCUCAGACAGCUAGGAUGUUGGCUUAGAAGCAGCCAUCAUUUAAAGAAAGCGUAAUAGCUCACUAGUCGAGUCGGCCUGCGCGGAAGAUGUAACGGGGCUAAGCUGUAAACCGAAGCUGCGGCAAUGCGAUUUAUCGUAUUGGGUAGGGGAGCGUUCUGUAAGCCGUUGAAGGUGUGUUGUAAAGCAUGCUGGAGGUAUCAGAAGUGCGAAUGCUGACAUGAGUAACGACAAGGGGGGUGAAAAACCUCCCCGCCGGAAGACCAAGGGUUCCUGUCCAACGUUAAUCGGGGCAGGGUAAGUCGACCCCUAAGGCGAGGCCGAAAGGCGUAGUCGAUGGGAAACGGGUUAAUAUUCCCGUACUUCUUACAAUUGCGAUGGGGGGACGGAGAAGGCUAGGUGGGCCUGGCGACGGUUGUCCAGGUUCAAGUGCGUAGGCUUGAGGGUUAGGUAAAUCCGGCUCUCUCUAAGGCUGAGACACGACGUCGAGCUACUACGGUAGUGAAGUCAUUGAUGCCAUGCUUCCAGGAAAAGCCUCUAAGCUUCAGAUUGUAAGGAAUCGUACCCCAAACCGACACAGGUGGUCGGGUAGAGAAUACCAAGGCGCUUGAGAGAACUCGGGUGAAGGAACUAGGCAAAAUGGUACCGUAACUUCGGGAGAAGGUACGCUCUUGAUGGUGAAGUCCCUCGCGGAUGGAGCUGAUGAGAGUCGCAGAUACCAGGUGGCUGCAACUGUUUAUUAAAAACACAGCACUGUGCAAAAUCGUAAGAUGACGUAUACGGUGUGACGCCUGCCCGGUGCCGGAAGGUUAAUUGAUGGGGUUAGCGUAAGCGAAGCUCUUGAUCGAAGCCCCGGUAAACGGCGGCCGUAACUAUAACGGUCCUAAGGUAGCGAAAUUCCUUGUCGGGUAAGUUCCGACCUGCACGAAUGGCGUAAUGAUGGCCACGCUGUCUCCACCCGAGACUCAGUGAAAUUGAAAUCGCUGUGAAGAUGCAGUGUACCCGCGGCUAGACGGAAAGACCCCGUGAACCUUUACUACAGCUUGGCACUGAACAUUGAACCUACAUGUGUAGGA
This 2101-nucleotide ribosomal RNA is filed under the name Vibrio fluvialis. Its description in RNAcentral is "partial 23S ribosomal RNA". It matches the Rfam family "Bacterial large subunit ribosomal RNA", at positions 1 to 2143 of the family's 2925-position model. The record is from RNAcentral. Lineage: Bacteria; Pseudomonadati; Pseudomonadota; Gammaproteobacteria; Vibrionales; Vibrionaceae.